GAUGAACGCUGGCGGCGUGCCUAAUACAUGCAAGUCGAGCGAACGGACGAGAAGCUUGCUUCUCUGAUGUUAGCGGCGGACGGGUGAGUAACACGUGGAUAACCUACCUAUAAGACUGGGAUAACUUCGGGAAACCGGAGCUAAUACCGGAUAAUAUUUUGAACCGCAUGGUUCAAAAGUGAAAGACGGUCUUGCUGUCACUUAUAGAUGGAUCCGCGCUGCAUUAGCUAGUUGGUAAGGUAACGGCUUACCAAGGCAACGAUGCAUAGCCGACCUGAGAGGGUGAUCGCCACACUGGAACUGAGACACGGUCCAGACUCCUACGGGAGGCAGCAGUAGGGAAUCUUCCGCAAUGGGCGAAAGCCUGACGGAGCAACGCCGCGUGAGUGAUGAAGGUCUUCGGAUCGUAAAACUCUGUUAUUAGGGAAGAACAUAUGUGUAAGUAACUGUGCACAUCUUGACGGUACCUAAUCAGAAAGCCACGGCUAACUACGUG
Molecule: ribosomal RNA, 496 nt
Filed under: uncultured bacterium
Lineage: Bacteria
Description: partial 16S ribosomal RNA
Rfam family: Bacterial small subunit ribosomal RNA
Source: RNAcentral